RNAcentral lists this ribosomal RNA (498 nucleotides) under uncultured bacterium. RNAcentral describes it as "bacterial SSU rRNA". It matches the Rfam family "Bacterial small subunit ribosomal RNA", at positions 8 to 524 of the family's 1533-position model. The record is from RNAcentral.
AGAGUUUGAUCCUGGCUCAGGACGAACGCUGGCGGCGUGCUUAACACAUGCAAGUCGAACGAUGAUCAGGAGCUUGCUCCUGUGAUUAGUGGCGAACGGGUGAGUAACACGUGAGUAACCUGCCCCUGACUCUGGGAUAAGCCUCGGAAACGGGGUCUAAUACCGGAUAUGACUCGAGGCUGCAUGGUCUUGGGUGGAAAGUUCCGGCGGUGGAGGAUGAGCUCGCGGCCUAUCAGCUUGUUGGUGGGGUGAUGGCCUACCAAGGCUUCGACGGGUAGCCGGCCUGAGAGGGUGACCGGCCACAUUGGGACUGAGACACGGCCCAAACUCCUACGGGAGGCAGCAGUGGGGAAUAUUGGACAAUGGGCGCAAGCCUGAUCCAGCCAUGCCGCGUGAGUGAUGAAGGCCCUAGGGUUGUAAAGCUCUUUUGUGCGGGAAGAUAAUGACGGUACCGCAAGAAUAAGCCCCGGCUAACUACGUGCCAGCAGCCGCGGUAAU